UACAGAGGGGGCUAGCGUUGUUCGGAAUUACUGGGCGUAAAGGGCGCGUAGGCGGCCCGCUAAGUCGAACGUGAAAUCCCCGGGCUCAACCCGGGAACUGCGUCCGAUACUGGCGGGCUUGAAUCCGGGAGAGGGAUGUGGAAUUCCAGGUGUAGCGGUGAAAUGCGUAGAUAUCUGGAGGAACACCGGUGGCGAAGGCGGCAUCCUGGACCGGUAUUGACGCUGAGGCGCGAAAGCCAGGGGAGCAAACGGG
This 253-nucleotide ribosomal RNA is filed under the name uncultured bacterium. Its description in RNAcentral is "partial 16S ribosomal RNA". It matches the Rfam family "Bacterial small subunit ribosomal RNA", at positions 524 to 776 of the family's 1533-position model. The record is from RNAcentral.